This is a long non-coding RNA of Ornithodoros turicata, 798 nucleotides long. RefSeq lists it as uncharacterized. The record is from RefSeq and is a predicted model, not a curated record. The transcript is spliced from 2 exons. NCBI's taxonomy places the organism in Eukaryota, Metazoa, Arthropoda, Arachnida, Ixodida, Argasidae.
CUAGGUGGCGCAACGUCACCGCCCGCUACAGAGGGAACAGCCACUAUCCAUCCAUCCAUCCAUUCGCACCCUAUUGCUUCCCCUUAUCUCCAACGGCCAGACACUCCUGAAGCGGUCGAUGUCGACAUGGCGGCUGUACGCCUGACGCCGGACGAUAGCUUCUUCGAAGCAUGCGAAAUCCGUAGUAUUACCAACGGCCUACUUGUUGAAGAUCAAGACCCUGACGUUGAGGAGACUUUUGCACACAUGGGGGACCUGAAAUGUCCGUUUUGUGAGCAGCUGUUCCACCAUGUCCCAGGCUUGGAAGGCCACUGGAGGACGCAUCAUUGGAUAACGUGCGGGACCUGCGGAAAGAAGUUUCCAAGUUUUAAUCUCUUGGACAUUCACAUUACAGAGUCUCAUGACCCAUUCUUCGAGAUCAGGUCCAACACUAUACUACCAAGUUUCCAGUGCAUUGUGCCCGGCUGCAAGUCUUCGUUUGAAAAGUCCUUCGAGAGAACAAGCCAUCUUGUGGAGAUUCAUAGGUAUCCUGCAGAUUUUCAGUAUGUUUUAAAUGAAGAGGCCCAAGCGUCAAGUGAACUUUUGGUCAAGAUUGCAGUACCUGAUGUGGUCCGUUUCGGAAGGGAUGCGACUAAGGCAUGGGACUGUAAGAUGGCGUCUAUGGACGAACUGGUGAGAAAUAUGAGAGUGUGAGUGAGUUGAAGUGCUGCUCACCCUCAGCGUAUGGCAUCUGGCAUUGCAUGACGCGUCAGGAAACUUGGGAAGGCUGCUUCUUUAUUAAAAACUCUUCCUGGGGUC